UGGGGAAUUUUGGACAAUGGGGGCAACCCUGAUCCAGCAAUGCCGCGUGAGUGAAGAAGGCCUUCGGGUUGUAAAGCUCUUUUGUCAGGGAAGAAACGGUAGUAGCGAAUAACUACUACUAAUGACGGUACCUGAAGAAUAAGCACCGGCUAACUACGUGCCAGCAGCCGCGGUAAUACGUAGGGUGCAAGCGUUAAUCGGAAUUACUGGGCGUAAAGCGUGCGCAGGCGGUUGUGUAAGUCAGAUGUGAAAUCCCCGGGCUCAACCUGGGAAUUGCAUUUGAGACUGCACGGCUAGAGUGUGUCAGAGGGGGGUAGAAUUCCACGUGUAGCAGUGAAAUGCGUAGAUAUGUGGAGGAAUACCGAUGGCGAAGGCAGCCCCCUGGGAUAACACUGACGCUCAUGCACGAAAGCGUGGGGAGCAAACGGGAUUAGAUACCCCAGUAGUCCCUGAGCGGGCUGGCAAGGCGCAU
Molecule: ribosomal RNA, 472 nt
Filed under: uncultured bacterium
Lineage: Bacteria
Description: bacterial SSU rRNA
Rfam family: Bacterial small subunit ribosomal RNA
Source: RNAcentral